UGGCUACAUACUCAAAUGUACGUACUUCUGAUACUUUAACUAGUUCUGUCUCGUAGGCUUCCUCAAGACUUGUAUCAGACAGCAAAAGUUGCCAAAUUACUUAUCGCUGUUAAUAGUGGACAAGUAGCAAAGUAUAAAGGAAAAUCCUUGACGAAAUAACUUUGUCAGACAAUGAAUCAUUGCUGGAUGAGACUGAAGCAGAAAAACCUUUAUUUCAUGAUCAAAAUAUUAAUGAAAAUGAAAUAGAAGAGACGUGGGAACAGCAAUUCGGAGAACAAGCAAUGAAAAAUGCGGUAUUAGAUGAAAGGGAAAAUAGUAUAAAAAAAGGAAAGCGAGGAAAGUGGAAUUCAGAGCAAAAAAAUGUAUUGAAAACAGCUUUCAAAGAUCACAUAAAAAACAAAAAAGCUCCGAGAAAAGAAGAAACCGAGUUGAUAAUGAAAAAACAUAAAGAUUUAUUCAAGGAUAAGACGUGGGCCACAGUGAAAGCUUUUGUUUAUAACUGUUAUAAAGGUUAAACAAUUGCUAAUUUACUUUAAAUAUUUUAGACUUGCACUGCGCUAGUAUAAACGUUUAAUUUUAUUUCAAUGUUUAAUAAUUAUUUUAGUCAUUCUCAGCAUUAAUUAUAAAUAAGAUAAAAUGUAAAAUAGCUAUUAACCAAAUAUUUAAUGAAGUACUCGUAUUUACUUUUGUACU
This 693-nucleotide long non-coding RNA is filed under the name Diabrotica virgifera virgifera (western corn rootworm). Its description in RNAcentral is "uncharacterized LOC126889816". Lineage: Eukaryota; Metazoa; Arthropoda; Insecta; Coleoptera; Chrysomelidae. The record is from RNAcentral.